Molecule: ribosomal RNA, 556 nt
Filed under: Tegenaria domestica
Lineage: Eukaryota; Metazoa; Arthropoda; Arachnida; Araneae; Agelenidae
Description: partial large subunit ribosomal RNA
Rfam family: Eukaryotic large subunit ribosomal RNA (bases 283-556)
Source: RNAcentral
GGCAGGUGGCCGCUGGCGCGUCUCGUGCGCGUCGGCGGUUGUUAGCCGUUCCGCCAGUGGUACGUCACCCGGCCGAGGUGUCGCGAGGCCCUUACGGGCCUCAUCGUCUCCUCCUCCUUGAGACGCGGGUCAGAGUGUCGCAGGUGGAACCCGUCGCCCCGUACGCACCCCUGACGGGUGGUCGGGCGAACGGGAGACUCCGCUGGUGAUGCCGGACCCGUUGGAGGCCGGAGGCUUGCGGCGAGUAGGUCGGUCACCCACCCGACCCGUCUUGAAACACGGACCAAGGAGUCUAACAUGUGCGCGAGUCAAUGGGUCUUGAACAGGCCCAGGGGCGCAAUGAAAGCAAAGGUCGUCCUCAGCGUCGACCGAGUUGGGAUCCCCGUCUCUGAUGGCGGGGCGCACCAACGACCCGUCCUAUUCGGCUCGCCGAUUGGGCGGAGUUUGAGCGUACACGUUGGGACCCGAAAGAUGGUGAACUAUGCCCGGACAGGAUGAGGCCAGAGGAAACUCUGGUGGAGGUCCGCAGCGGUUCUGACGUGCAAUCGAUCGUCAG